UGCCAGCAGCCGCGGUAAUACGGAGGGGGUUAGCGUUGUUCGGAAUUACUGGGCGUAAAGCGCGCGUAGGCGGCUUUUUAAGUCGGAUGUGAAAGCCCCGGGCUCAACCUGGGAACUGCAUUUAGAACUGGUGAACUAGAGUAUGGUAGAGGAGUGUGGAAUUUCAGGUGUAGCGGUGAAAUGCGUAGAGAUCUGAAGGAACAUCAGUGGCGAAGGCGACACUCUGGACCAAUACUGACGCUGAGGUGCGAAAGCGUGGGUAGCAAACAGGAUUAGAUA
Molecule: ribosomal RNA, 279 nt
Filed under: uncultured bacterium
Lineage: Bacteria
Description: partial 16S ribosomal RNA
Rfam family: Bacterial small subunit ribosomal RNA
Source: RNAcentral